UGGGCUGGGUGUGAAAUGGGAGCCCGGCUCUGCCCCCAGCCUCUGCCACUGCCCCUUUGCUGGGCGGGGCUGGGGCAGGGGCAGCCAGCCUGCCAAAAACAAACCCCCGUGGGGGGAGCAAAGGUGGGGCUGCAGAACACCAGCUGCUUUGGGCUGCAGGCCGGGAAAGGCUUGGGCUGCCUUGGCUUAGGAGCCUUUCUUUGGGGCAAUGCAGCAGGGCAGGGAGAAGGCCUGGGUUUUCCUUACCUGGAGGAGGAGCUUUCCUUUGGUGUGGAGGGGUUGGGCCUUCCUCAGAACCCUGACACAAUGUUAACAUUUUACCUUUUUGUCUUGUUUCCACUUUUUGUUUGUAAUCUCUUGUCAUGAAUUUGUUGUUUGUUUUUGAGGGAAGAGUUGGAGCUGGUGCCCAGUCUGGAUUGGGAAGGGCUGGGACCAUCCCUGGAGAGGAUCUGACGUCCCCUCUGAGAAGGCUGAGGACAUCCUUUGGGACACGCUCUUCUUCCAGCAGCAGAUCUUGUGAGACAGGACACCUCUGCCUGAUCUCCCACGGAUCCAAGGGAUCUCUGGAUCUUCAACCAGCACCAGGAUUUUGCUGGAGAAGAGCACAGAUCCCCAGCCCAGUCUGGGACACAGAACCCUGUGAAAUGGCAGAAGGAUUGUGGUGUGAAUGCAGCGCCCUCAGAGCCCUUGGUGUGAGCCCGGAAAGGAAAAUCAAGGGAAAUGGUUAAAGCCUUGUUGUUCCAUGUGGAGCACAGGAGAACUUUGUUCUCAUCGUCUCCCCGAUAAGGAGGAGGACUCAGAUCUUCUGGUUGGCCCCACGGGCAGGUUGAGUGGGGGAACAGAAAAUCAAGAUGCAGAAACCAAUCUUGCAGGGGAACUGGCAUGUGAAGAGGCAGAUUUAGCAUGUCCAGAAGAAAAGGUAGAGAGAAUGUGUCAGAGAGAGAGCAGAGAGCUUCAGUACAGCUGCAGGAAGAACUAGAGCUAAACAAGGAGGGAUGGGAGUGGCCCCCCUGUGUGAUAGAACUCAGACUAGAUGGCAAAAGCAUCCACCUGCAGUGGAUAUUAUCUGGAAUGAAACAUGCCAGGCCAAAGGCAAUGAACACGUCAAAAUUCUUUACAAUGAAGCAGGUUCACAGGGAAGAGCCUACUGACUGGAAGAAACAGCACAAAAAUAUAUGAAUAUCCAUCCUGAAACACAGGGGGGAAGGACUCAACUGGCCCCCAUAUUUGUGGGGCACUCCUCAGAUGUGGUUAGGAGGAAAUGACAAAAAGCUGAGGGACAAGAUCAAGAUCAUUUCAGGACAUUGUUGGAGGUUGGGAGAAUCAGCAGGAAUCAACUCAGCAGAAAGAAGUUUCAGUUAUGGAAGAAAUCCCUGAGGAAAUGGUGCCCCUGGGGAGAGGAAGAAGAUGAGAACAUGGGCAGCCUGCUUCAAACAUCCCCCCCAGGAGACUUGGUAUCAAUCCAUGUGCAUCCUGUAAGAAAGAUGGACACUGGAAAUGGGAUUGUCCACAACUGAAACUUCAGAACCCUCCGAACCCUCUCCUGGCAUCACUGAAGACGACUGAGGGGGCACCAGAGGAUUCUUCCCCAUCAGAACAUCUGGUUCCAGCCAAGCUAAGUACAAUUGGUUGUGGCUGUGGGAACUUGUUCCCCUGUCUUAAAUAAGGGAAAAUGAAACUCAAGUCACAAUUCUGGAACAAUUGUCUGGUGUGACAGGGAAUUGGGAAACUGGGCCAUUUUUAAUGCUGUGGAUUUAAAACUGGGAAAACAGUGGUUGGCUCCCCAGUAUGUCCCCAAUUCCCCAAAGCCUCUGCCUGGGAGAGAUCUCUUGGAAAAAUUAAAUGCCACAAUCCAAUUUAAAAAUGAUAAAAUAUAAGUUAUUAUUGCAGAGCCUAAUUCUGUGGAAGAUUCUAGUUUUGCAUGAGUCUCCAAAAGCGGAACUAAUCCAUCUGCCAACGUCACUUGGGGAUGCAGUGAUUCCAAUAGGAUGGGCUGGAGAGGUGCCUCCAUGAUCCAAAAGAGCAGAACUUGUGAGAAUUCCAGUGAAACCUGGAGUGGGGUUGGUCAGGCCAAAGCAAUAGCCUUUGAAAAUGGAAAGUUGUGAGGGAUUCUCACUCUCUGUAGAAAAACUGAUGAAAUUUUGCUUGUUAAAAGAAUGUGAAUCUAAAUGUAAUGCUCCAAUUUUGCCAGUCAAGCAGGCAAAUGGAAGGCUAUCCCAGUUAGUCCAAGACCUCAGAGCUAUAAAUAAUUGAGUAGAAGAUAUACAAGCAGUUGUAGCGAAUCCGUACACUUUGCUAACUCCCUUAAAUGAAAGUUUAAUAUGUUUCAC
Long non-coding RNA from Pseudopipra pipra, 2330 nucleotides. RefSeq lists it as uncharacterized. NCBI's taxonomy places the organism in Eukaryota, Metazoa, Chordata, Aves, Passeriformes, Pipridae. The transcript has 3 exons. The record is from RefSeq and is a predicted model, not a curated record.